UUACUUCAACAGCACAUAUACUACAAUCAGAAUGAUACAGAGAAUAUUAGCAUGGCCCCUGAGCAAGGAUAAAAAAGCUAAUUCAUGGGGUUGUGUUGUGGCUC
Molecule: small nuclear RNA, 104 nt
Organism: Ictidomys tridecemlineatus (thirteen-lined ground squirrel)
Lineage: Eukaryota; Metazoa; Chordata; Mammalia; Rodentia; Sciuridae
Source: Ensembl